GACGGGGCCCGCACAAGCAGUGGAGUAUGUGGUUUAAUUCGAAGCAACGCGAAGAACCUUACCAGGGCUUGACAUCCCUUGAAGCAGCUAGAGAUAGCUGUGUCCUUCGGGACAAGGAGACAGGUGGUGCAUGGUUGUCGUCAGCUCGUGUCGUGAGAUGUUGGGUUAAGUCCCGCAACGAGCGCAACCCCUGUGGUUAGUUGCCAGCAAGUAGCGUUGGGCACUCUAGCCAGACUGCCGGUGAUAAAUCGGAGGAAGGCGGGGACGACGUCAAAUCAUCAUGCCCUUUAUGUCCUGGGCUACACACGUACUACAAUGGGCGGUACAAAGGGUAGCGAUGCCGCGAGGUGAAGCCAAUCCCAAAAAGCCGUCCACAGUUCGGAUUGGAGUCUGCAACUCGACUCCAUGAAGCCGGAAUCGCUAGUAAUCGUGGAUCAGCAUGCCCACGGUCCGAAUACGUUCCGGGCCUU
RNAcentral lists this ribosomal RNA (470 nucleotides) under uncultured Oscillospiraceae bacterium. Its description in RNAcentral is "bacterial SSU rRNA". It matches the Rfam family "Bacterial small subunit ribosomal RNA", at positions 916 to 1381 of the family's 1533-position model. The record is from RNAcentral. Lineage: Bacteria; Bacillati; Bacillota; Clostridia; Eubacteriales; Oscillospiraceae.